Molecule: ribosomal RNA, 795 nt
Filed under: Escherichia coli
Lineage: Bacteria; Pseudomonadati; Pseudomonadota; Gammaproteobacteria; Enterobacterales; Enterobacteriaceae
Description: partial 23S ribosomal RNA
Rfam family: Bacterial large subunit ribosomal RNA
Source: RNAcentral
AUGAUGGCCAGGCUGUCUCCACCCGAGACUCAGUGAAAUUGAACUCGCUGUGAAGAUGCAGUGUACCCGCGGCAAGACGGAAAGACCCCGUGAACCUUUACUAUAGCUUGACACUGAACAUUGAGCCUUGAUGUGUAGGAUAGGUGGGAGGCUUAGAAGUGUGGACGCCAGUCUGCAUGGAGCCGACCUUGAAAUACCACCCUUUAAUGUUUGAUGUUCUAACGUUGACCCGUAAUCCGGGUUGCGGACAGUGUCUGGUGGGUAGUUUGACUGGGGCGGUCUCCUCCUAAAGAGUAACGGAGGAGCACGAAGGUUGGCUAAUCCUGGUCGGACAUCAGGAGGUUAGUGCAAUGGCAUAAGCCAGCUUGACUGCGAGCGUGACGGCGCGAGCAGGUGCGAAAGCAGGUCAUAGUGAUCCGGUGGUUCUGAAUGGAAGGGCCAUCGCUCAACGGAUAAAAGGUACUCCGGGGAUAACAGGCUGAUACCGCCCAAGAGUUCAUAUCGACGGCGGUGUUUGGCACCUCGAUGUCGGCUCAUCACAUCCUGGGGCUGAAGUAGGUCCCAAGGGUAUGGCUGUUCGCCAUUUAAAGUGGUACGCGAGCUGGGUUUAGAACGUCGUGAGACAGUUCGGUCCCUAUCUGCCGUGGGCGCUGGAGAACUGAGGGGGGCUGCUCCUAGUACGAGAGGACCGGAGUGGACGCAUCACUGGUGUUCGGGUUGUCAUGCCAAUGGCACUGCCCGGUAGCUAAAUGCGGAAGAGAUAAGUGCUGAAAGCAUCUAAGCACGAAACUUGCC